Molecule: ribosomal RNA, 1049 nt
Filed under: human gut metagenome
Description: bacterial LSU rRNA
Rfam family: Bacterial large subunit ribosomal RNA
Source: RNAcentral
AUCUUUAAGGACAAGUUGUGAUGGGGAGGGAAAUAAUAGUACCGAAGUUCCUGAUGUCACACUGCCGAGAAAAGCUUCUAGUGAGAAAACAAUGGCCCGUACCGCAAACCGACACAGGUAGUCGAGGAGAGAAUCCUAAGGUGAGCGAGAGAACUCUCGUUAAGGAACUCGGCAAAAUGGGGGGGGAACUUCCGGAGAAGGGGUGCUGAUCUAACGAUCAGCCGCAGUGAAUAGGCCCAAGCGACUGUUUAUCAAAAACACAGGUCUCUGCAAAAUCGAAAGAUGACGUAUAGGGGCUGACGCCUGCCCGGUGCUGGAAGGUUAAGAGGAGUGCUUAGCGUAAGCGAAGGUACGAAUUGAAGCCCCAGUAAACGGCGGCCGUAACUAUAACGGUCCUAAGGUAGCGAAAUUCCUUGUCGGGUAAGUUCCGACCCGCACGAAAGGCGUAACGAUUUGGGCACUGUCUCAACGAGAGACUCGGUGAAAUUUUAGUACCUGUGAAGAUGCAGGUUACCCGCGACAGGACGGAAAGACCCCAUGGAGCUUUACUGCAGUUUGAUAUUGAGUGUUUGUACCACAUGUACAGGAUAGGUAGGAGCCGUANAAGUCGGGACGCUAGUUUCGACAGAGGCGCUGGUGGGAUACUACCCUUGUGUUAUGACCACUCUAACCCGCACCACUAAUCGUGGUGGGAGACAGUGUCAGAUGGGCAGUUUGACUGGGGGCGGUCGCCUCCUAAAGAGUAACGGAGGCGCCCAAAGGUCCCUCAGAAGGGUGGAAAUCAUUCGCAGAGUGUAAGGCACAAGGGAGCUUGACUGCCAGAACCUACAGUCCAACAGGGACGAAAGUCGGGCUAGUGAUCCCGUGGGUUCCCCAGGAAGGGGCAUCCCUCAACGGAUAAAAGCUACCCUGGGGAUAACAGGCUUAUCCCCCCCAGAAUCCCAUCCAACGGGAAAGUUGGGACCCUCCAUGCCGGUCCCCCCACCCGGGGCUUUACUCGGCCCCAGGGUUGGGCUUUCCCCCCUUUAAAGCGGCCCCGGCUGGGUUCA